GGCUCAAAGUGCCAGGUGGUUACAUCAAAAUAAAGCAAAAAAGACAAAUACCACUGGAAGAAGUAAAAUAAUAAAAGCAAACAGCAAGAAAACAAAAAAGAAACAGACCAAAGGUCCAAAACCAUAAAUGCGCGCACAGAAAGGUUCUAAAAAACCACAAAAGUAAAAAACAAAACCCACUCUGGCCUUCAAACAAAAAAGAGAGCAUCCACAAAUACCAGCCAAAAACAGCUUCCUUCUCCUUGUAAAAGACAAUUCAGAUUUGAGAGGAAAACCCAAGUGCUUUGAAACUAGACAUGGAGAUUCAGAGAACCUUUUCCACUACAAAGCAAACUAUGGCAAUCUUUGAUUCGUCUGCAUCCAGCUCCUCCAAUCCCUCUCCACAAACCGCGUUACUGAAGCCGGAACUCCAUCAACCCAAAACCUAGAUCUUUGACUUCUUCGCCCUUCCGCUGCCAGGGUAUGGGCUGCAUCAUUAACAGAACGAGGAACAAAAAGCUUUUUGAUAACUGUCAAAGAAUCCCCUUCUACGACCAGGAACCGGAACCCCAUCAUUCGUGCGAACAGUAACGACCUUUCACAUGCCCGUGCUUCAGCAAUGAACACAUUAGCAACAUCCUCUAUCAGAUAAGUUUCGGCUCCUCUAAUUCCACUUCUAGAAUCUCUGGCUAAAACUGCUAUUGUAGAUUCUAGAAUCUCUUUGAAAGGUAGCGUCAAAAUUAAUCUUGAUGAAACCCAAAACUGGAGGCA
This is a long non-coding RNA of Gossypium arboreum, 750 nucleotides long. RefSeq lists it as uncharacterized. Lineage: Eukaryota; Viridiplantae; Streptophyta; Magnoliopsida; Malvales; Malvaceae. The record is from RefSeq and is a predicted model, not a curated record. The transcript has 2 exons.